CUUUGGUUGUAUUUAUCUCCAAGAUCCGACCUCUUGGAAGCUCAGCAGUGUUCAUCCUCUGCCUCUUUGCUGAACCUGACAAAAGGCACGCAGUGCAUCGAAGCUCAGUGUGGGCAGUUUCUUAGCUGGCUGAUGUCUGGCAGAGCAUCGGCACACAUGGACCUGCUGAGGACCUCUCUUCUACAGCCCCAGAUCUCAUUCUGUAACACUCAGGGGUCAGUUCCAUACAAUGCUAAGGGCAGAGCUUUGGUCCUACUAAUGGCAGACCACGGAUCCAAGUGGGACAGCAAUGAUGGAAGCGAGCCUUCCCUUUUCCACUUGCCCGGCCAGGGAUUCUGAAUCUCAGAAUGCUUUCUACUCUCCAGCCAGAGUGGUGGCUCGACCUGAUGGAGCUGAAGACAGCUAGCAGGGAGCACCUGGGAGCAUCUCAAGCUUCUAUCCCCCAUCUCACGGAUUCACUGCUGGCUCCAGGUACCACCAUUCUGUGCCUAGCUUUCAAGAAAGCCAUGAAGGUAGAUGGUGCUCCCAGAAACAUUCCCCAGAGGUGAUCUAGACGCUUAACCUCCAAGGAUCACUGAAUUGAAGCCUUCGGUUUCUGAAGUAUGUAUGGUAUCAGGAGUCACACAGCCAAGAACUCAGAGCUGGAAAGCAGAGAGAUGAUUGGGAACCUCUCUGCUAGAGGAGAAAGAGUCCUAGCAAGUGACCAAAGAACAGAGUUUACUGCUUACUGUCUGUCUAUCUGACCUGGGAUGAAUCACAUCCCCUCUUUCUGCUCCCUAGCUUCCUCAUUUGUAACAUGAGUGGGUUGGAGUAAAUUACAGUAGUUCCCCUUGAUCCUGAGGAGGAACCUUCCAAGGCCCUCAGUGGACUCCUGAAAUCAUAUGUAACAUUGAACUCUAUAUAUGUUCUUUUUACAUGCAUACCUAUGAUAGGGUCUAACUUGUGAGUUAGACAUAGUAACAGAUUGACAGCAAUAACUGAUGAUAAAACAGAACCAUUAUAACAAGAUGCUACAAUAAAAGGUAUUUGG
Molecule: non-coding RNA, 1030 nt
Organism: Rattus norvegicus (Norway rat)
Lineage: Eukaryota; Metazoa; Chordata; Mammalia; Rodentia; Muridae
Source: RefSeq, a predicted model, not a curated record